This is a long non-coding RNA of Echinops telfairi (small Madagascar hedgehog), 486 nucleotides long. RefSeq lists it as uncharacterized. Lineage: Eukaryota; Metazoa; Chordata; Mammalia; Afrosoricida; Tenrecidae. The record is from RefSeq and is a predicted model, not a curated record. The transcript is spliced from 3 exons.
AGUGAGGUCAUCUGGGGUCCUGGACCUGACCGUCCUGCACAUCCUGAAAGCACCGGGAAGGCUGUCAGCUGCUCUGACUGGGGUGUGGAGAAGGCCCAUUCGUCUGCUUUCCUUCUGCUGGGUGCCCACGUCCACUCCCAUCCCUGUGCCCGGGCGGCUUCCUGGGCUUGGAGGCAGCAUUUCCCCAGACUUCUGAGAGGUGGAGCAAGGAACUAUGGGUUCAAUGGUCAUUGAGGAUGUUGCUGUGGUCUUUAGCCAGGAAGAGUGGGCAUUGCUAGAUUUUUCUCAGAGGAAACUCUACAGAGAUGUGAUGAUGGAAACCUUCAAAAACCUGGAAACAGUAGUCUCUGGAAACCUUCCUGAUGCAGAGACGUCACUCACUGAUCAUGUAAUGCUACAAUUCAUGAAGAAUAACACUUGGUCCUCCGUGAUAGGACUCUCUGAAUUGCAUGGCAAUGAGGAUGAGCAUAAAAUCCAAAGAGGAUA